CCUACGGGAGGCAGCAGUAGGGAAUAUUGCUCAAUGGGGGAAACCCUGAAGCAGCAACGCCGCGUGGAGGAUGAAGGUUUUCGGAUUGUAAACUCCUUUUGUUAGAGAAGAUAAUGACGGUAUCUAACGAAUAAGCACCGGCUAACUCCGUGCCAGCAGCCGCGGUAAUACGGAGGGUGCAAGCGUUACUCGGAAUCACUGGGCGUAAAGAGCGCGUAGGCGGGUUAGCAAGUCAGAUGUGAAAUCCUUUGGUUUAACCAUAGAACUGCAUUUGAAACUGUUAUUCUAGAGUAUGGGAGAGGUAGGUGGAAUUCUUGGUGUAGGGGUGAAAUGCGUAGAGAUCAAGAGGAAUACUCAUUGCGAAGGCGACCUGCUAGAACAUAACUGACGCUGAUGCGCGAAAGCGUGGGGAGCAAACAGGAUUAGAUACCCUAGUAGUC
Molecule: ribosomal RNA, 440 nt
Filed under: uncultured bacterium
Lineage: Bacteria
Description: partial 16S ribosomal RNA
Rfam family: Bacterial small subunit ribosomal RNA
Source: RNAcentral